Phycodurus eques (leafy seadragon) is the source of this 1568-nucleotide long non-coding RNA. RefSeq lists it as uncharacterized. The transcript has 3 exons. Lineage: Eukaryota; Metazoa; Chordata; Actinopteri; Syngnathiformes; Syngnathidae. The record is from RefSeq and is a predicted model, not a curated record.
GACAGGGAGCUAGCAGAAGUCCUAACUAGAAGACCAAUGCCGUCACAGGCCUAUUACAAAAUGUUUUUUUCCGCCUUCCAAAAAAAGAGAUGGGCCAAGAGUUAAGCCGGCGGGAUGACGGGAAGAAGAAAGGGAUAGAUACUGAGGCGGAUGGGGUAGGAUCAGGUGAUAGAAGAGAGGAGGAUGGGGUGUCUGUGCCUCUGGGGCUGAUUGUGGAGGGCGAGACUGAACGGAGCCGGAGCAGGUAAGUUGAGCGGCACACGGCGACGGCGCACAGACAAGGAUGGACAUAGGAAGUAUCGCGUGUUGCGAGGAAGGACGAGACUCAACGUGGCAUUCCACAAACCAGGCUCAGAGGUGACGGAAAUGACGGAAGGCAGGCUAAGCACGAGGGGGACAGAGAUAGUCGGAGCACCAGAGUGUCGCACCAGCAAAGAAACGCAGCAAUAAACCCACAUCGCUGAAAGCACAACAGUCACAACCUCUGUGGCGGAGAUAAUUACGGUAUCGAUGUCGAAUGGCACGUUGAAGUCGUCUUGCAAAUAUUCUGGGCCUUACAGACAUAAGACGCUGCCUGUGUGAAAUGGUAUUCCGCAAUGCCGGGACUGGGGUGUGAAGUAGAAACACCUGACGCUCACUUCUCCUGCCCUACUACAUUGAAAGAAAUUGUCACUCUCCGAAAACAGUUUUAAUAAGACAGGCCAGAUGCUGAGACUGAUGGAUGGCACAGGUGGAUAUAAAAAGAACUCUUUCAGGAUCUCUGUGCUAGCGGCACUGAGAGCCACGGAACAAAAGUUCUGACACACGUUCUGACUAAAAUAAAUGAGGACAGUUGGUCCCGAUUAGGGGUUUUGAAAUGAAUCAAAAUUGACGCAUUGCAGCACAGACAUCAACGACUGAGGAUGGAUGCAGUGGCAGAUCAUAAUAGACUAUAACCUGAUGACAUUGCUUGUUGAUUUUUGGCCUGCGGGAUAAAAAGUAUUGUAGUUUGUCUCUCUAUGUCGGGUGUCAACGAUAGUCUCAUCCAGGGCGUUAUAGCUUCGCUCUCAUCUAAAUAAUGUAUUUUUUCACAUACGAGGUCAUGAGCUAAGAGUUAAGGAUUUUUUAAAAAAGCGGAUAUGCAUUUUACAAACAGACAAGGAAGCAUGAACUGGACAAGUCACACGCAGUGUAAAGCCGGUUGCACAAAAAUCAAACAUGUCAGGAACGCCACCAACUUAAGGAAUCACAGAAGCCAUUUCAACCUCGAGUUGCUAACUUCACCGAACAAGGAAAUUGCACAGCCGGUCAGCGCAAUGAAGAAUUGACACGAGUCUGUCAACAAGCCCACCUAGGCGCCUAAAUCAGACAAAGGGAAGAAAUACCCCAUUCUGUGGGAGCCUUUAUGGUGAAGGCUUUAUGAACAUAUUCCGACGGGUUUCAACAUUUGAGGACUCUGUAGCCACAAUACAAAAUAAUAUUAAUAAUAAUAAUAAUAAUAAUAACAACAACAAUAACAAUGUAAUAAUGUCAGAGCCAGAGAUGUGGUCUCUGUAGAAAGAUCCACUCCUAAACCAUGAGUGUGUACG